RNAcentral lists this transfer RNA (88 nucleotides) under Chloroflexota bacterium. RNAcentral describes it as "Chloroflexi bacterium tRNA-Tyr". It matches the Rfam family "tRNA". Rfam says of the family: Transfer RNA (tRNA) molecules are approximately 80 nucleotides in length. Their secondary structure includes four short double-helical elements and three loops (D, anti-codon, and T loops). Lineage: Bacteria; Bacillati; Chloroflexota. RNAcentral also lists the same sequence under 1 other name. The record is from RNAcentral.
GGAGGGGUGGGUGAGUGGUUAAAGCCACCAGACUGUAAAUCUGGCGUCCGGAAGGACUUCGCAGGUUCGAAUCCUGCCCCCUCCACCA